This 512-nucleotide ribosomal RNA is filed under the name uncultured bacterium. Its description in RNAcentral is "partial 16S ribosomal RNA". It matches the Rfam family "Bacterial small subunit ribosomal RNA", at positions 28 to 507 of the family's 1533-position model. The record is from RNAcentral.
GAUGAACGCUGGCGGCGUGCCUAAUACAUGCAAGUCGAACGAAACUUCUUUAUCACCGAGUGCUUGCACUCACCGAUAAAGAGUUGAGUGGCGAACGGGUGAGUAACACGUGGGCAACCUGCCCAAAAGAGGGGGAUAACACUUGGAAACAGGUGCUAAUACCGCAUAACCAUAGUUACCGCAUGGUAACUAUGUAAAAGGUGGCUAUACUACCGCUUUUGGAUGGGCCCGCGGCGCAUUAGCUAGUUGGUAGGGUAAAGGCUUACCAAGGCAAUGAUGCGUAGCCGAAUUGAGAGGUUGAUCGGCCACAUUGGGACUGAGACACGGCCUAAACUCCUACGGGAGGCAGCAGUAGGGAAUCUUCCACAAUGGGCGAAAGCCUGAUGGAGCAACGCCGCGUGGGUGAAGAAGGUCUUCGGAUCGUAAAACCCUGUUGUUAGAGAAGAAAGUGCGUGAGAGUAACUGUUCACGUUUCGACGGUAUCUAACCAGAAAGCCACGGCUAACUACGUG